UCUGAUUCUCUUCACAUCAUCUUAUUCCUCCAGACCACCACUUUCCUUCUAUUCAACUCCUCCAUCUUCCACAUAUACUCACCAGAAGACAUCCCUAUUUCUCUUCUUCACCACCAAGAAUCAACACCAUCUCUUCCUCACUCCCGCUUACCAUUCUCACUGCCGCACACCCUUCAAACCCACUACUGCAAUCUUCCGAUAUCACCACCCAACAUACCGCUCUCCUCCACAACCUCAUCACUGUCACCUUCUGAUCGUUCUCAACUCCAUGCCGUUUUAACCUCCGUCACACAACACCACUUCUCACAAAUAAAAACAAAUCCACACCAUCAUCAUUGA
Vicia faba (fava bean) is the source of this 339-nucleotide non-coding RNA. NCBI's taxonomy places the organism in Eukaryota, Viridiplantae, Streptophyta, Magnoliopsida, Fabales, Fabaceae. The record is from the annotation of a GenBank genome assembly.